Molecule: transfer RNA, 85 nt
Filed under: Corallina chilensis
Lineage: Eukaryota; Rhodophyta; Florideophyceae; Corallinales; Corallinaceae
Description: tRNA-Leu
Rfam family: tRNA
About the family: Transfer RNA (tRNA) molecules are approximately 80 nucleotides in length. Their secondary structure includes four short double-helical elements and three loops (D, anti-codon, and T loops).
Source: RNAcentral
AUAGGUAUGAUGAAAUUUGGUAAACAUGUUAGAUUUAGAAUCUAAUAACGUAAUUGUUUUGAGGGUUCGAGUCCCUCUACCUAUA